CAGUAGGGAAUCUUCCGCAAUGGACGAAAGUCUGACGGAGCAACGCCGCGUGAGUGAUGAAGGUUUUCGGAUCGUAAAGCUCUGUUGUUAGGGAAGAACAAGUGCCGUUCAAAUAGGGCGGCACCUUGACGGUACCUAACCAGAAAGCCACGGCUAACUACGUGCCAGCAGCCGCGGUAAUACGUAGGUGGCAAGCGUUGUCCGGAAUUAUUGGGCGUAAAGGGCUCGCAGGCGGUUUCUUAAGUCUGAUGUGAAAGCCCCCGGCUCAACCGGGGAAGGGUCAUUGGAAACUGGGGAACUUGAGUGCAGAAGAGGAGAGUGGAAUUCCACGUGUAGCGGUGAAAUGCGUAGAGAUGUGGAGGAACACCAGUGGCGAAGGCGACUCUCUGUUCUGUAAACUGACGCUGGAGGAGCGAAAGCGUGGGGAGCGAACAGGAUUAGAUACCCUGGUAGUCCAACGCCGUAAAACGAUGAGUGAUAAAGUGUUAGGGGGGUUUCCGCCCCUUAGUGGCUGCAGCUAACGCAUUAAGCAACUCCGCCUGGGGGUACGGUUCGCAAGACUGAAAUUCAAAGGAAUUGACGGGGGGCCCGCACAAAGCGGUGGAGCAUGUGGUUUAAUUCGAAGCAACGCGAAGAACCUUACCAGGUCUUGACAUCCUCUGACAAUCCCUAGAGAUAGGACGUCCCCUUCGGGGGCAGAGUGACAGGUGGUGCAUGGUUGUCGUCAGCUCGUGUCGUGAGAUGUUGGGUUAAGUCCCGCAACGAGCGCAACCCUUGAUCUUAGUUGCCAGCAUUCAGUUGGGCACUCUAAGGUGACUGCCGGUGACAAACCGGAGGAAGGUGGGGAUGACGUCAAAUCAUCAUGCCCCUUAUGACCUGGGCUACACACGUGCUACAAUGGACAGAACAAAGGGCAGCGAAACCGCGAGGUUAAGCCAAUCCCACAAAUCUGUUCUCAGUUCGGAUCGCAGUCUGCAACUCGACUGCGUGAAGCUGGAAUCGCUAGUAAUCGCGGAUCAGCAUGCCGCGGUGAAUACGUUCCCGGGCC
Molecule: ribosomal RNA, 1048 nt
Filed under: Bacillus subtilis
Lineage: Bacteria; Bacillati; Bacillota; Bacilli; Caryophanales; Bacillaceae
Description: bacterial SSU rRNA
Rfam family: Bacterial small subunit ribosomal RNA
Source: RNAcentral